Molecule: transfer RNA, 92 nt
Filed under: Candidatus Nomurabacteria bacterium CG_4_9_14_0_2_um_filter_32_10
Lineage: Bacteria; Candidatus Nomuraibacteriota
Description: tRNA-Ser
Rfam family: tRNA
About the family: Transfer RNA (tRNA) molecules are approximately 80 nucleotides in length. Their secondary structure includes four short double-helical elements and three loops (D, anti-codon, and T loops).
Source: RNAcentral
GGAGCCGUGUCAGAGCGGUCUAACGUACGACUUUGCUAAAGUCGCAGGGGCUUCAAAACCCCUCGGGAGUUCGAAUCUCCCCGGCUCCGCCA